Molecule: long non-coding RNA, 524 nt
Organism: Gavialis gangeticus (Gharial)
Lineage: Eukaryota; Metazoa; Chordata; Crocodylia; Gavialidae
Exons: 3
Source: RefSeq, a predicted model, not a curated record
GACGCUUUGAGUCUAUAGAGGGGUGUCUUGAGUCUAAAAAGGUUGAAGACCACUAUACUAAAAUGUGAUUGUGUAACUAAGUACUGUGUUGUAGGCCUGUGCCAGUGUUCAGUGGCUUCUGUGAUUGCACAGGAAAUGAACAGGCUUUUAACUCUGAAGCCUAAUGGUGACAUUCUGAAGAUUAAUCAUGAGCUGUUUUAAGAUUGUAAUCCAAGCGUGCACUCCCUGCUGAAUCAGGCAUUCGGGUGCUUUUCAAUACCAGACUGAGUUAGCAAUCCUCUGUUGCCAUGCAGCUGUGAAGUAGAUCCCACAUUCAGUGAAACUUCUGUUCACUGUGUUCCAGUAUCAGAGAAAUGAGCGUUUCCCAGGAGACAACAGACUUCCCAAGGACUAGUUUUACGUUUACAGAAAAGAAAGUAGCACUCAUUUUAUACCAGCACAGUCACCCCAGCUAGUCUGUUCAUAGGUUCCUUUGGGGUCUGUUGCCGCAUGUUAACAUGCUAUAAAAUCUGCUUUGUCCUCAA